GCAUUGGUAGUUCGGUGGUAGAAUUCUUGUCUUUCAUGUGGGAGAUGUGGGUUUGAUUCCCAGCCAAUGCA
Molecule: transfer RNA, 71 nt
Filed under: Loxodonta africana (African savanna elephant)
Lineage: Eukaryota; Metazoa; Chordata; Mammalia; Proboscidea; Elephantidae
Rfam family: tRNA
About the family: Transfer RNA (tRNA) molecules are approximately 80 nucleotides in length.
Source: Rfam by way of RNAcentral